Molecule: ribosomal RNA, 598 nt
Filed under: Salmonella enterica subsp. enterica serovar Infantis
Lineage: Bacteria; Pseudomonadati; Pseudomonadota; Gammaproteobacteria; Enterobacterales; Enterobacteriaceae
Description: partial 23S ribosomal RNA
Source: RNAcentral
GGGUUGUGAGGUUAAGCGACUAAGCGUACACGGUGGAUGCCCUGGCAGUCAGAGGCGAUGAAGGACGUGCUAAUCUGCGAUAAGCGCCGGUAAGGUGAUAUGAACCGUUAUAACCGGCGUUAGUGGAAGCGUCUGGAAAGGCGCGCGAUACAGGGUGACAGCCCCGUACACAAAAGCGCAUGUGCUGUGAGCUCGAUGAGUAGGGCGGGACACGUGGUAUCCUGUCUGAAUAUGGGGGGACCAUCCUCCAAGGCUAAAUACUCCUGACUGACCGAUAGUGAACCAGUACCGUGAGGGAAAGGCGAAAAGAACCCCGGCGAGGGGAGUGAAAAAGAACCUGAAACCGUGUACGUACAAGCAGUGGGAGCACAGGUUUACCUGUGUGACUGCGUACCUUUUGUAUAAUGGGUCAGCGACUUAUAUUCUGUAGCAAGGUUAACCGWAUAGGGGAGCCGGAGGGAAACCGAGUCUUAAYYGGGCGUUAAGUUGCAGGGUAUAGACCCGAAACCCGGUGAUCUAGCCAUGGGCAGGUUGAAGGUUGGGUAACACUAACUGGAGGACCGAACCGACUAAUGUUGAAAAAUUAGCGGAUGACCUG